RNAcentral lists this ribosomal RNA (544 nucleotides) under uncultured bacterium. Its description in RNAcentral is "bacterial SSU rRNA". It matches the Rfam family "Bacterial small subunit ribosomal RNA", at positions 11 to 561 of the family's 1533-position model. The record is from RNAcentral.
GUUUGAUCCUGGCUCAGAUUGAACGCUGGCGGCAUGCCUAACACAUGCAAGUCGAACGGGGGUAGCGAUACCCUAGUGGCGGACGGGUGAGGAAUGCGUAGGAAUCUACCCACGAGAGGGGGACAACCUGGGGAAACUCAGGCUAAUACCGCAUACGCUCGUAAGAGGAAAGCGGGGGAUCUUCGGACCUCGCGCUGGUGGAAGAGCCUACGUCCGAUUAGCUGGUUGGUGAGGUAAAGGCUCACCAAGGCGACGAUCGGUAGCGGGUCUGAGAGGACGGCCCGCCACACUGGGACUGAGACACGGCCCAGACUCCUACGGGAGGCAGCAGUGGGGAAUAUUGGACAAUGGGCGCAAGCCUGAUCCAGCAAUGCCGCGUGGGUGAAGACGGCCUGCGGGUUGUAAAGCCCUUUAGGCGGGGAGGAACGACGGGACGCGAAUACCGUUUCGAAGUGACGUUACCCGCAGAAUAAGCACCGGCUAACUCCGUGCCAGCAGCCGCGGUAAUACGGAGGUGCGAGCGUUAAUCGGAAUUACUGGGUAC